GUCCACGCCCUAAACGAUGUCGACUGGUUGUUGGGGGUUUGACACUCUCAGUAACGAAGCUAACGCGUGAAGUCGACCGCCUGGGGAGUACGGCCGCAAGGUUAAAACUCAAAGGAAUUGACGGGGACCCGCACAAGCGGUGGAUUAUGUGGAUUAAUUCGAUGCAACGCGAAAAACCUUACCUACCCUUGACAUGUCCGGAAGCCUGGGGAAAACCCGGGUGUGCCCGAAAGGGAACUGGAACACAGGUGCUGCAUGGCUGUCGU
This 266-nucleotide ribosomal RNA is filed under the name uncultured bacterium. Its description in RNAcentral is "partial 16S ribosomal RNA". It matches the Rfam family "Bacterial small subunit ribosomal RNA", at positions 793 to 1055 of the family's 1533-position model. The record is from RNAcentral.